AUGUGUCUCUGACAGACCUGGAGCAGUUAACGCCUGCUGCUAAGGUUUCCACUAUAGACGCAAGAAAAAGAAGGUCCUCGUGCUUUCUAUCUAUCAGGUUGUGGCAGCCAAGAUUGAAUGGGGGAAUACAGGA
Molecule: small nucleolar RNA, 133 nt
Filed under: Dasypus novemcinctus (nine-banded armadillo)
Lineage: Eukaryota; Metazoa; Chordata; Mammalia; Cingulata; Dasypodidae
Description: Small nucleolar RNA SNORA31 (ENSDNOG00000046813.1)
Rfam family: Small nucleolar RNA SNORA31
About the family: ACA31 (SNORA31) belongs to the H/ACA class of snoRNAs which are thought to guide the sites of modification of uridines to pseudouridines.
Source: RNAcentral